GCCGCACCACCAUCCGCCGCGCCGCGUCACUACUUCGCCGCCGUUCAUGCUUUUGUUGCUGUCAGAACUCCACGCCGUCGCUGGAGCUUGAACGCCGCUGCAACCACCGCCGCGUGUUAUCAUCUUCAGAUCCGCUGCCGUUUGAGUCGCGAACAGGGGAACGCGCGCGAAGGAAACUGUCGCAGAACUGCCGUCACCGCCGCGUUGAUGGGCUUGCCGUCGUUCUGCUCGCGCGGCUGCUGCGUUGUCGGAGCUCCUCGCCACCGCUGCUAGCGCCGAAAACCGCCUUUCAAGCCUGUAUCUGUUGGGAGGAGUCCAAGCAAGAAAAGGAAGAAGGUGGCGAUGGAUACCUCCGUUGCUGCUGCUGUUACUAUCGGUGUUCCGGAGCUUGCAGUUGCUGCCAUUUUUGGUGAUGAACCUGGUUGUGUCCUUGCUGCUGAUUGAUUGUAGUGAGAGACGUUGUAGCCACUACUUUUCAUCUUGAGUCACUAUUGUCAUAUCUCGGCGCUGCCGCCCUUGUUUGGAACUACUGAAUGUUGUUGUCUCCGCCACUGUCGAUUUAUCUAUUGCAAGUCAUAAUUGAUAAUGGAGCUGCUAAGAUCGCUGCUGCUGCCAUGAAUUGGGGAUAAAGGAGAUUAUUGAGUUAAAUUCUGCGAUUGAGACAUCGAAGUAGAGGUUUUUCUUAAAUCUAUUUUACAUUACAGGGUUGUUAUAAAUCGAUAUUAACGCGUAAGAUACAUUUUUGUGAUUUCGUGAGUCUUAUGAAUUGAAUUGAGUUGUUUUGGUUGAAUAAGAUUAUUAGUUUGAUUGAUAAACUGAUCGACUGAGAAAGUUGGCUAUUUGGAUUAGUUGAUUGAUGUUGUUAAAGUGGUUUUUCCUUGAAUUAUUAGAGAAUAUUUAUUAUUGCCUUUUAGGUUAAUUUUGGAAACGGUUUGAUUUUAGAAAAGAUUUAAUAUUGAAAUUUGAUUUGAUAUUAAACCUGAUUUGAUAUCGGAAUUUGAUUUUAAAAUAAACUUGGAAAGGACUUGAUAUUUGAAAAUGGGUUAUUUAUUGAGAAUAAUUUGCUAUUUUGGAAAUGAUUCGAAAAGUGUUUGAGGAAUGGUUUGGUUUGAAACUGUUUGAGAAGACCGAGAAUUCUUAACUAUUGAUUAAUGCUGUUGGUUGAAGUCGGUUUAAAUUGCGAUUUAUAGGAUUGGUUGAUUGAAUUCUGGAUUUUGCAAUUUCCUUGGAUUGAGUGUUGUUGUGAUAAUGGUUAUUGGAAGUGAUUUGACUGAUUAACAGGCGUUUGGUUUGGUUUGGUUGGGACCCAAAAAGGGUGGCAGUGUCCAAGUUUUAGAG
Non-coding RNA from Arachis ipaensis, 1338 nucleotides. The record is from RefSeq and is a predicted model, not a curated record. Lineage: Eukaryota; Viridiplantae; Streptophyta; Magnoliopsida; Fabales; Fabaceae.